GAUGAAGAACGUAGCGAAAUGCGAUAAGUAGUGUGAAUUGCAGAAUUCAGUGAAUCAUCGAAUCUUUGAACGCACAUUGCGCCCUUUGGUAUUCCAAAGGGCAUGCCUGUUCGAGCGUCAUUUGUACCCUCAAGCUUUGCUUGGUGUUGGGCGUCUUGUCUCUAGCUUUGCUGGAGACUCGCCUUAAAGUAAUUGGCAGCCGGCCUACUGGUUUCGGAGCGCAGCACAAGUCGCACUCUCUAUCAGCAAAGGUCUAGCAUCCAUUAAGCCUUUUUUUUCAACUUUUGACCUCGGAUCAGGUAGGGAUACCCGCUGAACUUUAGCAUAUCAAUAAGCGGAGGA
Molecule: unclassified non-coding RNA, 342 nt
Filed under: soil metagenome
Description: partial contains 5.8S ribosomal RNA, internal transcribed spacer 2, and large subunit ribosomal RNA
Rfam family: 5.8S ribosomal RNA (bases 1-120)
Source: RNAcentral